RNAcentral lists this ribosomal RNA (419 nucleotides) under uncultured Prevotella sp. RNAcentral describes it as "bacterial SSU rRNA". It matches the Rfam family "Bacterial small subunit ribosomal RNA", at positions 358 to 774 of the family's 1533-position model. Lineage: Bacteria; Pseudomonadati; Bacteroidota; Bacteroidia; Bacteroidales; Prevotellaceae. The record is from RNAcentral.
GGAAUAUUGGUCAAUGGACGAGAGUCUGAACCAGCCAAGUAGCGUGCAGGAUGACGGCCCUAUGGGUUGUAAACUGCUUUUAUGCGGGGAUAAAGUGCACCACGUGUGGUGUUUUGUAGGUACCGCAUGAAUAAGGACCGGCUAAUUCCGUGCCAGCAGCCGCGGUAAUACGGAAGGUCCGGGCGUUAUCCGGAUUUAUUGGGUUUAAAGGGAGCGCAGGCCGAAGGUUAAGCGUGACGUGAAAUGUAGCCGCUCAACGGCUGCACUGCGUCGCGAACUGGCUUUCUUGAGUGAGUUCGAUGUAGGCGGAAUUCGUGGUGUAGCGGUGAAAUGCUUAGAUAUCACGAAGAACUCCGAUUGCGAAGGCAGCCUACAAGGCCUUUACUGACGCUAAAGCUCGAAGGUGCGGGUAUCGAACA